Megalopta genalis is the source of this 475-nucleotide non-coding RNA. Lineage: Eukaryota; Metazoa; Arthropoda; Insecta; Hymenoptera; Halictidae. The record is from RefSeq and is a predicted model, not a curated record.
AGUUUUCGCUCUCGGAUUCUAUAUUGUUAUAGCUUUGUUGACGGCGCUGAUGGACAUGUCGUCGAGAUGCGUCAUGCCUUUCAUACUAGCCGGCGUAUUGAUUGCGGACUUGGUGAUUCUUAUUAUAACGAAGCGUGAUUAGAAAGACGAGGAUACUGAAAAAUUGUUGGACAAGCAACUCGCGAGCAGGAGAAUGAAAAUCAUUCGUAUACUGCGAUAGUGCUAAUAAAUUAUUUAGCCGACUCUGUAAACUUGACAAAAGGAAAGGCAGAAUACAAGGGUUGAGAACGUUUAUUCAGUUUGUUUGCACGCUCGCAGCAGUGGUCAAUUCGCCGCUCAUUCUCAAUGAAACCUCUAUGUAUAUCAUGUAUAAAGUUUCGAAAAAUAGGAUGAUGAAAUUGCCUGCAAAUGAUCGAAAGUUCGAAUUAUAGCAAUUGAAUUGAAUCAGCAAUAUAAUAAAUUGUAGUUCGGUUAA